GUAGCAUAGAUUUCCUAAACAGUAGCAGCUCUGUAAAUUGUUGCUUGAAAUGUCAUUGAUCUUUAAAACAUAACCAUAGUGACAGCAACAUAAAUGAGACCCCAGAAAAAGAAACAAAAAAGGAGGGAGAAAUCUAUGCCACAAAAGAAAAAACAAAGAAAAUACUGAUUGGGUUAUUUCAUAAAUAUAGAGGAGAAAUGAAGAUGGUGUACCUGAUUAUCAGAGUCACUGAAGCAAAUGCCACUGCAGGGUUUAAAAGAAGGGGGGCACACUCCAUAGUUUUCCUUCAUAUUAUGGCAUUAUUGACGUGAAGAGACAGUACAAGAGGUAAAAAAAUUGGGGGAACCUGACCAGCCAACAACCUUUGCAACUGAACAUCUUUGACAAGAAAUCCUUAUUAAAUCAAAACCAACAUAAAGAUGCAGAAACAUUCUUUUACAAGGAAUAAUUUGUUGCUCAAGAUGCUAAAUAUUCUGGCUUGCAUCAUUAUCAUUCUUUAUUAAACCAAAAAGAAGAAAGAAAAACUAGCACAAUGAUAAACUCAGAAAGCAAUGUACUCGGAACAAAGAAAAAAAAAAAUUAUGAACAAGCACAUACUUUGCUAAUAUUUCCAAGAUAUCUGGAUGUCUAGGAUUGCAUCAAGAGAGACACCUAUAUCCACAUUGGAAACCUCAUCUAUAACAAAUUAGAAAGUAAAACUUAAGAGAGAUUCCCUAAUAAUAGCAAGAUUCUAAGUUAUCUAUAACAAAUUAGAAAAUCCUGUUGAGGUGGCUCUCAAUGAAAGCAUCAAUUUGUGGGAUAUGAUUCCACAAACACUUUGAGAUGUCUCAUUUAAAAGAAUGCAACUGAGGCCUUUGCACACCAACCUUCUCAACGGUUCCUAUUGAUCUCAAAAUGUGAAUCUAAGCCAAUAGGUCCUUUGUAUCUUCACAGCAUUAUAAAAGAAAACAUGUAGUAGAAAGGCUAACAAAACUUGUCAUAAUCAACUGAUAAUUAUAUCUCCUUGAAAUUAAAUCCAAAGUGACA
This is a non-coding RNA of Prunus avium (sweet cherry), 1026 nucleotides long. Lineage: Eukaryota; Viridiplantae; Streptophyta; Magnoliopsida; Rosales; Rosaceae. The record is from RefSeq and is a predicted model, not a curated record.